RNAcentral lists this ribosomal RNA (429 nucleotides) under Acidobacteriota bacterium. RNAcentral's name for it is "Acidobacteria bacterium partial 16S ribosomal RNA". It matches the Rfam family "Bacterial small subunit ribosomal RNA", at positions 355 to 776 of the family's 1533-position model. The record is from RNAcentral. Lineage: Bacteria; Pseudomonadati; Acidobacteriota.
UGGGGAAUUUUGGACAAUGGGGGCAACCCUGAUCCAGCCAUCCCGCGUGUGUGAUGAAGGCCUUCGGGUUGUAAAGCACUUUUGGCAGGAAAGAAACGCGAUGGGUUAAUACCCCGUGAAACUGACGGUACCUGCAGAAUAAGCACCGGCUAACAACGUGCCAGCAGCCGCGGUAAUACGAAGGGUGCAAGCGUUAAUCGGAAUUACUGGGCGUAAAGCGUGCGCAGGCGGUUCGGAAAGACAGAUGUGAAAUCCCAGAGCUCAACUUGGGAACUGCAUUUUUAACUACCGGGCUAGAGUGUGUCAGAGGGGGGUGGAAUUCCGCGUGUAGCAGUGAAAUGCGUAGAUAUGCGGAGGAACACCGGUGGCGAAGGCAGCCUCCUGGGAUAGCACUGACGCUGAUGCACGAAAGCGUGGGGAGCAAACAGG